GAUGAACGCUAGCGGGAGGCUUAAUACAUGCAAGUCGAGGGAGAAAUUGUUUUUCGGAAUAAUGGAAACCGGCGCACGGGUGAGUAACGCGUACACUACCUACCUUAUACUGGGGAAUAGCCUCUGGAAACGGAGAGUAAUACCCCAUGGUUCACACCUUGUGUGUGAUAAAGCUACGGCGGUAUAAGAUGGGUGUGCGUCUGAUUAGCUUGUUGGUGAGGUAAUGGCUCACCAAGGCGACGAUCAGUAGGGGGCGUGAGAGCGUGAUCCCCCACACGGGUACUGAGACACGGACCCGACUCCUACGGGAGGCAGCAGUAAGGAAUAUUGGACAAUGGGCGAAAGCCUGAUCCAGCCAUCCCGCGUGAAGGAUGAAUGCCCUAUGGGUUGUAAACUUCUUUUGCUUGGAAAGAAACGCCUGGAUUUAUCCGGGCCUGACGGUACCUUGCGAAUAAGCACCGGCUAACUCCG
Molecule: ribosomal RNA, 471 nt
Filed under: uncultured Saprospiraceae bacterium
Lineage: Bacteria; Pseudomonadati; Bacteroidota; Saprospiria; Saprospirales; Saprospiraceae
Description: bacterial SSU rRNA
Rfam family: Bacterial small subunit ribosomal RNA
Source: RNAcentral